Heterocephalus glaber (naked mole-rat) is the source of this 2631-nucleotide long non-coding RNA. The record is from Ensembl. Lineage: Eukaryota; Metazoa; Chordata; Mammalia; Rodentia; Bathyergidae.
CUUCUUUUAUUUUUUUAAUUAUUUAUUUAUUUACUUUUUGGUACUGGGGAUCGAAGUUGGGACCUUGCACUUUCAAGACAGGCUGUGGCACCACUGAGCUAAAUCCCCAGCCCUCUACUUCUUUUACAAAACAAAACAUAGGGAAACAAAAGAAGAAAAAGGAAAGAAGCAAAUAAAUCAGAGCUUUUUGCACCUCCUUAAAAUUCACAUCGGAAGUUAUUGCUUCACUCUCCCCAUUUAUUCUUAUGGCAAACUGAAGACUGAAGACGGGUUGGAUUAAGCAACAUUUGCAUCAGGGUAACUGGCUCGAGCUGGCUCCACGCUAUUUCGAGGAUGAAUGAGAUGAGAGAAUGGUCUGAAGAGAGGAUGAGAGGAGGAGAACUGGAGACUGAAUUUACACUAAUAUUCUUUUAAGGAGUUUUGCUGUUAAAGAGAAGCAGAGAAAUAGACAUAGCCAUAGGGCAUAUGGGAUCAAGUGAAGAUUUUAUUUCAUAUAGAGAAUAUUAUGGCAUAUUUUUGUGUACAGACAUUGAUAGAAAAGCGUGUGUGGUGAUAACAGAAAAAGCAACAUAUACCAUAAAUGUGAGCAGACACUGGACACGAGUGUAUGCAAAUUGUUGAUGAGGGGACUUGGGGUGUGGAUAGGGGUGUAUUUUCAGUUUUAUUAGAAGAAAAUCAAGUCAGGUUACAGAGGACACACAAUAAAAUAUGAAUUCUUACAAAGAAGAAAAAGAAGCUGAAGAAGAAGGAGGAGGAGGAGGAGGAGGAGAAGGAGAAGGAGGAGAAGGAGAAGGAGAAGAAGGAGGAGGAGGAGGAUGAGAAGAAGAAGAAGAAGAGGAGGAAGAGGAAGAGGAAGAGGAGGAGGAAGAAGAAGAAGGGUAACAGCACUGAAAUACAGUGGUUAUGAUUAUAGGCCCAGCCAGUGUGUAAGCUUUCUGGAAGCUGUGGAUAAGGAGAAAUGGUUAAAUUACUUAACUCACUAUGUAGAAAAGGAAAUAAAACAGCACUUUAGUAGAGGCAGUAUUCCUAUAAGUAACCCUGGUAACUAUUGCAUUUGCAAUGUGAGUUACAGAACGGGACAAACAUCACUAAUAUCUAUUUCAUCACACUUAAAAAAUGUGAUCAGUAUGGAUCAUUCUUUCAAUGUCCUUUUUAAAGGACCAAUCAUUAAUAGAGGUUGCUUAAACAUUAAAGUUUUUGAUGUUUAAUAUGAGUAAGUCUUAAACCUGUACCUUCAAAAAGGCAAGCAGACGAGCAUUCUUAAAUUUACAUUGAGUUGUUGAGAUUUUGAUGGGAACAUAAUGGCCAGCAUAUUAAAGAGAUCCCAUCAAGCUUAGAAUACAUCUGCUAUGCUCCACUAUGUGAUAAGGACAGAGCCCAUCUCCUUCGGAACAGGUGGUGGCAUCUGCACAUGUGUUAGUAUGGUUAAGAAGCCUACUUUUUUGUAGUAAGCCUGAUUGGAGGCACCUGGAUUGCAGACAGAACUGCAGGCAAAGUCAAAGUUUUUCUCAAAAGGAAUUUAAAACAGAAUUUGGUUGCAACUACCCCAGAAGCAUGACAGAGGUGAUUUUAGUUUUAAGAUUUUUCAGAGAGGUGUUAGCAGAAGUACAUAGCUGUGUGAAUGUUAGCUCACUGCAGUGCUCAUUUAUCAGCCUGACAUACUGAUGGGCCUUCCCAGGGAGCAGAACACAUCUCUAGAUGACAGAACACAUUGGUCUCAUGUACAGAGUUAUUUGUUAUUGAUCUCUUAAAGGUUGGAGCAUACCAGCUUGGAACUGUAAUUUUCAUUUAAAAAAAUUUAGUUUUUUCCUAAAAGUAAGUGGACUAGACUCAUUUGAGAUGUAAGUGCCUCAGUCAAAUAAGCAAACAACACAAUUAAAAUCUAGUCAAAUGAAAUGUUUUGUAUUGUAAGAACUAAAAAAGUAGACAUGGAUUAAAUUUUUCGAGCUUCAGAAUAUGUUAGUGACAUAAACAAAAUAAAACACAACCCCUCAACAGCCAAAGCAUAUACUGUGAAUGCUCUUUAUUCUUAUUCUGAUUCUGCUACUGAAACAGAAACUGCUACAAGAAUGGGUUGAGGAAGUACAGCAAAAAUGACUUGGUGCCAGCCUGCCCAUGAGAGCCUGGACAUAUCAAAGGUAGAAAGGAAGGGCAGAAUCUUAGGGCUACGCCCAGAAACCCAAAGAAGUGUCAUUGGGUUAGAGAAGUUGCAUACACUAAAUUUCCAUCUGGGAAGGGCCACACAGUGUUUUAUUAGAUUCAAAGUGCCAAACUUUUUUUUUGAAAUCACCAAGAAGUUCAUCUUUAAGGGGAAACUAUUCAAUCUCUGGUCUCUUAGACAUGAUGCAUGAUUCAUCUCUAAGUCAUUUUAUACUUUUGAAAUUUGUCAGGGAUAUAAUGGAAGCAAAGUUUUUCUCAAAGACAUAGACUGUUUGUUUCUUGCAGAGGAAGUGAAAAAUGAGGAAACCAUCUGGCAUUUGCUCAAAAUAUCAAGAUAAUUGAGGCCAAACUAUCUUUUAGCUUAAUUUUAUAUCAAUGAACACCCUUCAUGCCUCUUUCCACAUUUUUCUGCAUGGAGAGUAUCUUAAGGAAAUAAACUGAAAUUUACUAAUAAGAAUUUUACUGUUGGGU